RNAcentral lists this ribosomal RNA (279 nucleotides) under uncultured bacterium. Its description in RNAcentral is "partial 16S ribosomal RNA". It matches the Rfam family "Bacterial small subunit ribosomal RNA", at positions 506 to 784 of the family's 1533-position model. The record is from RNAcentral.
UGCCAGCCGCCGCGGUAAGACGGAGGAUGCAAGUGUUAUCCGGAAUCACUGGGCGUAAAGGGCGUGUAGGCGGUUUGUCUAGUCAGGCGUGAAAGCCCCGGGCUCAACCUGGGAACUGCGUUUGAUACUGGCAGGCUAGAGGUUGGAAGAGGAGAGUGGAAUUCCCAGUGUAGAGGUGAAAUUCGUAGAUAUUGGGAAGAACACCAGUGGCGAAGGCGGCUAACUGGCUCGGUACUGACGCUGAGAUGCGAAAGCGUGGGGAGCAAACAGGAUUAGAUA